This 565-nucleotide ribosomal RNA is filed under the name Veillonella parvula. RNAcentral's name for it is "bacterial SSU rRNA". It matches the Rfam family "Bacterial small subunit ribosomal RNA", at positions 365 to 922 of the family's 1533-position model. The record is from RNAcentral. Lineage: Bacteria; Bacillati; Bacillota; Negativicutes; Veillonellales; Veillonellaceae.
UCCGCAAUGGACGAAAGUCUGACGGAGCAACGCCGCGUGAGUGAUGACGGCCUUCGGGUUGUAAAGCUCUGUUAAUCGGGACGAAAGGCCUUCUUGCGAACAGUUAGAAGGAUUGACGGUACCGGAAUAGAAAGCCACGGCUAACUACGUGCCAGCAGCCGCGGUAAUACGUAGGUGGCAAGCGUUGUCCGGAAUUAUUGGGCGUAAAGCGCGCGCAGGCGGAUCAGUCAGUCUGUCUUAAAAGUUCGGGGCUUAACCCCGUGAUGGGAUGGAAACUGCUGAUCUAGAGUAUCGGAGAGGAAAGUGGAAUUCCUAGUGUAGCGGUGAAAUGCGUAGAUAUUAGGAAGAACACCAGUGGCGAAGGCGACUUUCUGGACGAAAACUGACGCUGAGGCGCGAAAGCCAGGGGAGCGAACGGGAUUAGAUACCCCGGUAGUCCUGGCCGUAAACGAUGGGGUACUAGGUGUAGGAAGUAUCGACCCCUUCUGUGCCGGAGUUAACGCAUAGUACCCCGCCUGGGGAGUACGACCGCAAGGUUGAAACUCAAAGGAAUUGACGGGGGCCC